RNAcentral lists this ribosomal RNA (257 nucleotides) under uncultured Gardnerella sp. Its description in RNAcentral is "partial 16S ribosomal RNA". It matches the Rfam family "Bacterial small subunit ribosomal RNA", at positions 98 to 356 of the family's 1533-position model. The record is from RNAcentral. Lineage: Bacteria; Bacillati; Actinomycetota; Actinomycetes; Bifidobacteriales; Bifidobacteriaceae.
CGGAACGGGUGAGUAAUGCGUGACCAACCUGCCCCAUGCUCCAGAAUAGCUCUUGGAAACGGGUGGUAAUGCUGGAUGCUCCAACUUGACGCAUGUCUUGUUGGGAAAGUGUUUAGUGGCAUGGGAUGGGGUCGCGUCCUAUCAGCUUGUAGGCGGGGUAAUGGCCCACCUAGGCUUCGACGGGUAGCCGGCCUGAGAGGGCGGACGGCCACAUUGGGACUGAGACACGGUCCAGACUCCUACGGGAGGCAGCAGUG